UAUGGUCAUAUUUGACAACUUGCACACACUAGCAUAGUAAUUUUAUAAUCAUGCUAUUUCCAUUUUUCUUGCCUUUUAAAAAGAAAUUUCUAAACAAACAACUACAAGGAAAACUUAGUAACUCUGACAUUACAGGUUUGGUUUUUUGUUUUGUUUUGUUUUUUUGGUUUGUUUUCUCUCUUUUGUUCUCACCUACAAGGCCCAAUUGCUGGGUUUUUGUUUUCAAUCUAUCAUUUUUACUGCUUUAUUAAAUGACAAAUGAUUGUUGGUGCAUAAUGUCUUGCAGCAAAUAAACAAUUAUUUUGUCCAAUGAAAUCCUACCAUUUUAAUUAGAUGGAACUGUGCAUGCUUUUUUUUUUCUGUAACAUAUGGUACAGCCUCAACUGAAUUAACAUCAGUGGUUCACUAUGAGGUCAGCAUAUGUUUAUAUUUUUAAUGAAGAAUUACUUUGAAUAAGUUGUGUGUAGAUUUUAAAUGAUAUUGUGGAGUUGCUUUGGUGAAUAAUGUGUUAAUUGAAGGACAUUUAUUAACUGGUUACUAUGCUAAUCUUUUAACAAAUCCUCCUGGAAAUAAGGGUAAUGAUAUUUAAGUAUUUGAUAUGAAAAGAAAAUAUAGGAUAUUAAUAAAUUAAAGGUGGAGGCAGGAGGAUCAUAAAUUCGAGGCUAUGCUCGAGUACAUAGCCAGUUAGAGGCUAGCCUAGGAUAUGGAUGAGUCCUCAAAAAAUAAUGUGUGUCUGUGUCUGUAAGAGAGAGAGAAUCUUUUCACACACACAUCCAUACAUACAUACAUACAUACAUACAUACAUACAUACAUACAUACAUACAUACAUACAUACACUGACCUCCCCAUACAGAAGAAAGAAAGGAAGAUGUAACUCAUCCUCCCGUCCAGGUCCAUUAGUUUGUCUUUGAGGUUUUUAUGGUUUCAAUCUAUGCAGAAAGUUAAGGAAUUUAAAAAUAUGUAUACUUAAAAUUAACCAAUUUCACAUUUUUUUUCUUGGUCCAUUCUUUUUUUUUUUUAAAUCAUUGCAGUGAAACCUUCAGCCAAGCUAAAGUCAAGUGCUUAUAGACUUCUGAAGCAGUGAGAAUGAGAGAAAGAAAGAAAAAAAACUGUGUCUGCUAAUUCUUUGUCUAAGGUUACCCGAAGAAAGGGAAAAAACCCAGCCUCAUAUUUAUAUAAAGAAUAUGGAAUUGUAGGUAAUACCUGAUGGACGUUCUCUAGCCAUGUGGUCUCUGUCCAAGGUAACCACGCAACUGCAUAUUUUGUGCACCACUCCAGUAUAUGUGCAUUUAUGAUGGCUUUUUCUUAAUGGGGGGGGGGUGUUGAAAUGGUCUUACUGUAGCUAAUGCUGCUCUGGAACUAUAGCUCUGGUUGGCCUGGAACUCACUCCACCUACAUCCCCUGCAAGCUGGGAUUACAGAUGUGAGUCAUGGCAUCUGGGUUUAUAAAGUAACUUAAAUUGGUACAACUAGUAAAUACUGGUGUGAUUUCUUUGUGUCUUGGCUGAUUUUUACUGCUCAGCAUGAACUGAUGAAACAGAGCAGGUAGGAAUUGCCAUUCGUACACCAAGACCUCGAAGAUAUCUGCUUAUGCCCCUUUUAUCAUCAAAUGGUUUGUAUAUCUUCUUCACUACUUUCCUGUGUAGAUAAUAAAAAUUUAUCUGAAGUCAUUAUAAGGUACUAAUUUACAAUCUUUGUCUAACAUAAUGAAAUCAUGAAAGUUCAGCUGUCAAUGGGUUUGAACUGAACAGUUGAAAAGAGAGGAUAUUUCAAACGUUAUUGAGUUGUUAGAUCAAAUGAAAGGAGCCAAGAGAUCAGUUCCCAACUCUAGCAUUCUCAUAAAUAUAUACAUCAGUUAGUAAUGUGAGGUUUAAAUUUUGUGUUUCUUACAAACUGUUACUUACUGUUAAGACAAUAAAAUACUCAAAUCCUCAUGGCAUUUGGACAAGCAUAUAAUGUACUUCCAGCACAAACUCUUACACUCUAAUUCUCUCCUUUUCUUCCUGUUAGUCGCCUUGUACUCCUCAGUAGUUUUGUUCCUACAUCAUGUUACAUACACAAACAUGAUUUUAUGUAUCUAUAUAUAAAAGCUUAAAACUACAAAUAAAAGAGAAAGUGAUACU
This 2122-nucleotide long non-coding RNA is filed under the name Mus musculus (house mouse). Its description in RNAcentral is "long non-coding RNA chr11:31103233-31105355". The record is from RNAcentral. Lineage: Eukaryota; Metazoa; Chordata; Mammalia; Rodentia; Muridae.